RNAcentral lists this transfer RNA (72 nucleotides) under Marmota marmota marmota (Alpine marmot). It matches the Rfam family "tRNA". Rfam says of the family: Transfer RNA (tRNA) molecules are approximately 80 nucleotides in length. Their secondary structure includes four short double-helical elements and three loops (D, anti-codon, and T loops). Lineage: Eukaryota; Metazoa; Chordata; Mammalia; Rodentia; Sciuridae. RNAcentral also lists the same sequence under 3 other names. The record is from Rfam by way of RNAcentral.
UGGGGUGUAGCUCAGCAGCAGAGUGCUUGCCUAGCACGCGUGAGUCACUGGGUUUGAUACUCAGCACCCUGU